UGGGGAAUAUUGCACAAUGGGCGAAAGCCUGAUGCAGCAACGCCGCGUGAGUGAUGAAGGUCUUCGGAUUGUAAAGCUCUGUCUUUUGGGACGAUAAUGACGGUACCAAAGGAGGAAGCCACGGCUAACUACGUGCCAGCAGCCGCGGUAAUACGUAGGUGGCGAGCGUUGUCCGGAUUUACUGGGCGUAAAGGGUGCGUAGGCGGAUGUUUAAGUGAGAUGUGAAAUACCCGGGCUUAACUUGGGUGCUGCAUUUCAAACUGGAUAUCUAGAGUGCAGGAGAGGAGAAUGGAAUUCCUAGUGUAGCGGUGAAAUGCGUAGAGAUUAGGAAGAACACCAGUGGCGAAGGCGAUUCUCUGGACUGUAACUGACGCUGAGGCACGAGAGCGUGGGUAGCAAACAGGAUUAGAUACCCUGGUAGUCCACGCCG
This 430-nucleotide ribosomal RNA is filed under the name uncultured bacterium. RNAcentral describes it as "partial 16S ribosomal RNA". It matches the Rfam family "Bacterial small subunit ribosomal RNA", at positions 355 to 802 of the family's 1533-position model. The record is from RNAcentral.